UACAAUUAUAUAUUUUUAAAAUUACUUAAAUAGAAUUUAGUUUUAGUCAAUGUAAUAAUUGAUUUAAUAAUAUCAUUUAUCCUCGAGUAUGUGCAUUAAUCAGCAACCAGAUGUUAAAUCAAAGACAUGUGGCCACAAUUACCUGCCCAUCUGCAUGCACAAGAAUCCAAGCCCAAGGAAUUCCUCCAUGGCUCUUUUUAAGAUCAUCAAGAAAGACAUGCUCAUGGGUCCAGGGCCUAUACAGGGAACACACCGAGCCCAUUGUAGUGUUCUUUGUUCUGGGUGGAGCUAAGAACUCCUCCAUGUCGGCCGUCAACCGCCACAGAUGAAGGGGAGGCACCUGGUGGACCUGUAACUGCGUGGUGUCCCUGAUUAAUUAAUAAUCCCUAUCUUUAUUUAAGAAACACCAAGGGUGGUGGAGAGUGGAGACGAGAGAGCUGCCUUGUCAUGCUCACCUGCUCGCGCAAAUAAACAAAUACAAAAAAUAAUUAAUCUUGCGUUUGUGCCCUGCAAGUAUAGACGGUCCCUCCCUUGAGU
This 537-nucleotide long non-coding RNA is filed under the name Populus trichocarpa (black cottonwood). Its description in RNAcentral is "long non-coding RNA (PTRI_LNC002231)". The record is from RNAcentral. Lineage: Eukaryota; Viridiplantae; Streptophyta; Magnoliopsida; Malpighiales; Salicaceae.